AAACCAUGCAUUGGGCAUUUUCUAAUUAGUUCCUUGAAACGCUCCCAUACUUCAAAUAAUGUUUUAUCUUCCGAUUGCCUAAACGAUGUAAUAUCGUUCCUAAGCUU
Small nucleolar RNA from Gossypium raimondii (Peruvian cotton), 107 nucleotides. It matches the Rfam family "Plant small nucleolar RNA R71". From Rfam's summary of the family: R71 is a member of the C/D box family of snoRNAs containing the C (UGAUGA) and D (CUGA) box motifs. Multiple nearly identical copies of this snoRNA have been identified in Arabidopsis, and it is thought to function as a 2'-O-ribose methylation guide for 18S ribosomal RNA. NCBI's taxonomy places the organism in Eukaryota, Viridiplantae, Streptophyta, Magnoliopsida, Malvales, Malvaceae. The record is from Rfam.